RNAcentral lists this long non-coding RNA (1531 nucleotides) under Nicotiana tabacum (common tobacco). RNAcentral describes it as "long non-coding RNA (NTAB_LNC006932)". The record is from RNAcentral. Lineage: Eukaryota; Viridiplantae; Streptophyta; Magnoliopsida; Solanales; Solanaceae.
CGUAAGGCGAUGGUAAGUAGAGAAAUCGAAAAUGAGAGAGUCUUGUUAGUGAAAACUCGCAGAGAGCACUAAAAGGUGACAGUGAGAGAGAAAUGAGAGAGGUCGAUUGGUGAAAACCUGCAAAAGGCGCCGUUGAUCAAAAAGGAGAAUCCAUCAUCACCAUUGGUAUUGAAAGAGUCCUGGCAAGGUUUUUUGGUUUCAGAACACGGGUCGCAAUGAGUUUAUUAGAAGUUGAAUGGUUGUGCAGAUCAGACAUCCAGUCUAAGAAGCAUGUCAUGCCUAUUGAAGUCCGUAUGCACCUCCGAUAAGUCCUUCUUUCCUCCUCGAAAGGGACACUUCCCUUUAAAAUUCAUUUCUUGUCCUUUACUUUCCCUUGAAUCCCUUUCGGUAUAACUCUAUUUCUGAAACUAAUACAAAGAAAAGACGGCAAGAUUGGUUUUACAGGGUUCUGCUUAAUAAAGGCCAAAUCGAAAGAAAGUACCCAGCUUCAGCGAGUGCAUCAAGUCGACCCUGACUGGCCAUGAUGGCCGAUGCUCUAAAACCCAAAGUUAUUGAAAAUGAAAGGAAGCCAGUCAAAAUCCCCUAGAGGCAGAAUAAAGUGAAAGGACCAAAGCCCAAUACGGGCGAGCCGUCACGAUAAAUUUUUGAAAAGUUGAUUCCCUCGGUUAGGAAAGAGAUCAAUCUUCAGAAAGGCCAACAAGUAGCAGAGGUUCUCACCAAAAGAUAGGUCGAGAUCGAGUGAUCAAAACCGUUAAGGCCACAAAACCAACCACCGUUUCAAACUAACAAUUGUUCUUUGAAAACAGGAAACAGUGCAAUCCAAAGCAACCAUGCAAGAAGCAGGUACAACCAAAAGAAACUGCACAAGGGCUAGAAAUAGCUUUGCUGCAAUAAUCAGUCUGAAAAGGAAGUCUCCUCCAAAUUCUUUCCUGCAUUUUUAUUCAAAUAAAUAAAAAAAAAUCAAAUCAAAAUCAUGUUAGCAUAGGGCCUCCAAUCUCUAGUUCCAUCUUUCCAACAUAAGGCCGCAUUCCCUAGUUAUCCCCGUCAUAACCCAAGGACCUUUUUUCCUUUUAUCCCGGCAUAACCCGUGGACCUCCCCGGCAUAACCCGAGGACCUUUUUCUUUUCUCCCGGCAUAACCCGUGGACCUCCCCGACAUAACCCGAGGACCUUUUUCUUUUCUCCUGGCAUAACCCGUGGACCUCCUCGGCAUAACCCGAGGACCUUUUCUUUUCUCUCGGCAUAACCCGUGGACCUCCCUGGCAUAACUCAAGGACCUUUUUCCUUUAUCCCGGCAUAACUCGUGGACUUCCUCGGCAUAACCCGAUGACCUUUUUCUUUUUUCUCCCGGCAAAACCCGUGGACCUCCACGGCAUAACCCGAGGACCCCUUUCUUUUCUCCCGGCAUAACCCGUGGACCCCCCCGGCAUAACCCGAGGACCUUUUUCUUUUCUCCCGGCAUAACCCGCGGACCUCCCUGGCAUAACCCAAGGACCUUUUUCUUUUAUCCCAGCAUAACCCAUGGACCUCCC